UACGUAGGGUGCGAGCGUUAAUCGGAAUUACUGGGCGUAAAGCGUGCGCAGGCGGUGAUGUAAGACAGGUGUGAAAUCCCCGGGCUUAACCUGGGAACUGCAUUUGUGACUGCAUCGCUGGAGUGCGGCAGAGGGGGAUGGAAUUCCGCGUGUAGCAGUGAAAUGCGUAGAUAUGCGGAGGAACACCGAUGGCGAAGGCAGCCCCCUGGGCCAACACUGACGCUCAGGCACGAAAGCGUGGGGAGCAAACAGG
This 253-nucleotide ribosomal RNA is filed under the name uncultured bacterium. Its description in RNAcentral is "partial 16S ribosomal RNA". It matches the Rfam family "Bacterial small subunit ribosomal RNA", at positions 524 to 776 of the family's 1533-position model. The record is from RNAcentral.